This 689-nucleotide unclassified non-coding RNA is filed under the name uncultured Prochlorococcus sp. RNAcentral describes it as "partial may contain 16S ribosomal RNA, 16S-23S ribosomal RNA intergenic spacer, and 23S ribosomal RNA". The stretch from base 302 to 374 matches the Rfam family "tRNA". Lineage: Bacteria; Bacillati; Cyanobacteriota; Cyanophyceae; Synechococcales; Prochlorococcaceae. The record is from RNAcentral.
UGUGGAGGAGGACGCCGAAGGUGGGGCUAAUGACUGGGGUGAAGUCGUAACAAGGUAGCCGUACCGGAAGGUGCGGCUGGAUCACCUCCUAACAGGGAGACAACAAAAUGUUUAAUAUUAAUUUUGUCACCUUAGGUCGAUCGGUAUCUCACAUUCUUAAUUAAUUAAGGAUUUCAUUUCCUAAGUUUUUCUAGGUCACACCCAUUACUUUUCCUGGGCCAUUAGCUCAGGUGGUUAGAGCGCACCCCUGAUAAGGGUGAGGUCCCUGGUUCAAGUCCAGGAUGGCCCAUAUCUCUAUGUUGGGGGUAUAGCUCAGUUGGUAGAGCGCCUGCUUUGCAAGCAGGAUGUCAGCGGUUCGAGUCCGCUUACCUCCACUGAUUCCACCUCUUCCAUAUUUAUAGAAAGGAAAUGUUUUGAGAUGUAACCAAAUUCUGAAAGAAUCUAGCUUCCUAAUGAAAUUAUUUAGUUAAAUCAUUAAGAUGCUGGACUCAUUGAAUAAUAUUCAAUGUUUUCAGAGAACCUUGACAACUGCAUAGAUUAUUUUUAAAGACAAUAAGCAUCUUUUAUGAUGCAGAUUUAUUAUUUGUGCGAAUGCAUUAAAUAACAAUUCUAUUAAGCUGAUGCUUCAAUUUUGAAGUUAUUGGUCAAGCUACAAAGGGCUCACGGAGGAUACCUAGGCACACAGAGGC